This 1438-nucleotide ribosomal RNA is filed under the name uncultured bacterium. RNAcentral describes it as "bacterial SSU rRNA". It matches the Rfam family "Bacterial small subunit ribosomal RNA". The record is from RNAcentral.
UAGAGUUUGAUCCUGGCUCAGAACGUACGCUGGCGGCACGCCUAACACAUGCAAGUCGAACGAAGUAGCAAUACUUAGUGGCAGACGGGUGAGUAACAUGUAGGUAUCUGCCCUUUGGCCUGGAAUAACACGAGGAAACUUGUGCUAAUACCGGAUAAGUCUUUACGGAGAAAGCUUUAUGCACCAUUGGAUGAGCCUGCACUUGAUUAGUUUGUUGGUGGGGUAAUGGCCUACCAAGACUGUGAUCAAUAGCUGAUUUGAGAGGAUGAUCAGCCACAUUGGGACUGAGACACGGCCCAAACUCCUACGGGAGGCAGCAGUGGGGAAUCUUGCACAAUGGAGGAAACUCUGAUGCAGCGAUGCCGCGUGAGUGAAGAAGGCCUUUGGGUUGUAAAGCUCUUUCGUCGGGGAAGAAAAUGACUGUACCCGAAUAAGAAGGUCCGGCUAACUUCGUGCCUGCAGCCGCGGUAAUACGAAGGGACCUAGCGUAGUUCGGAAUUACUGGGCUUAAAGAGUUCGUAGGUGGUUGAAAAAGUUGGUGGUGAAAUCCCAGAGCUUAACUCUGGAACUGCCAUCAAAACUUUUCAGCUAGAGUAUGAUAGAGGAAAGCAGAAUUUCUAGUGUAGAGGUGAAAUUCGUAGAUAUUAGAAAGAAUACCGAUUGCGAAGGCAGCUUUCUGGAUCAUUACUGACACUGAGGAACGAAAGCAUGGGUAGCGAAGAGGAUUAGAUACCCUCGUAGUCCAUGCCGUAAACGAUGUGUGUUAGACGUUGGAAAUUUAUUUUCUGUGUCGCAGCGAAAGCGAUAAACACACCGCCUGGGGAGUACGACCGCAAGGUUAAAACUCAAAUGAAUUGACGGGGACCCGCACAAGUAGUGGAGCAUGUGGUUUAAUUCGAAGAUACGCGCAGAACCUUACCAACACUUGACAUGUUCGUCGCGACUCUAAGAGAUUAGAGUUUUCGGUUCGGCCGGACGAAACACAGGUGCUGCAUGGCUGUCAUCAGCUCGUGUCGUGAGAUGUUGGGUUAAGUCCCGCAACGAGCGCAACCCUCACUUUUAGUUGCCAUCAUUAAGUUGGGCACUCUGAAAGAACUGCCAGUGAUAAGCUGGAGGAAGGUGGGGAUGACGUCAAGUCCUCAUGGCCCUUACGUGUUGGGCUACACACGUGCUACAAUGGUAUCUACAACAGGAAGCAAGACUGCGAAGUUAAGCAAAUCCCUAAAAGAUACCUCAGUUCGGAUUGCACUCUGCAACUCGAGUGCAUGAAGCUGGAAUUACUAGUAAUCGUGGAUCAGCGUGCCACGGUGAAUGCGUUCCCGGGUCUUGUACACACCGCCCGUCACACCAUGGGAGUUGGUUCUACCUUAAGGCAAGGUUUUAAACCCUUGACCACGGUAUAGUCAGCGACUGGGGUGAAGUCGUAACAAGGUAACCA